Poecilia reticulata (guppy) is the source of this 1030-nucleotide non-coding RNA. The record is from RefSeq and is a predicted model, not a curated record. NCBI's taxonomy places the organism in Eukaryota, Metazoa, Chordata, Actinopteri, Cyprinodontiformes, Poeciliidae.
CAACACCUUCCUACUGCUCGAGCACCACCUCCCUCUGCUCCAGCACCACCCCCCUCUGCUCCAGUACCACCUCCCUCUGCUCCAGUACCACCUCCCUCUGCUCCAGCAUCACCUCCCUCUGCUCCAGCACCACCCCCCUCUGCUCCAGUACCACCUCCCUCUGCUCUGCCUAUAACCCCUCUUCAGUCUACUACCCAAUCUCUACCAGAGAAAUGAAAAAACGUCUACGUCCUUCUAUCAAAAGUGAAUGGAUAUAAGUUGUUUUACUGGGACAUUAAUAAAAUCGGUCCUGACAUGUAACUGGAGAGUCAGGGGGAAUCAAAACAUGAGAUCCAGAAAUAUUUGCAAAUCACAAGAGCAUUUAUGAGGAAGAAGGGGUGCAAUGUCUCUCGUUGGAGAUGUGACACAGUGAAGCAUCCCAAACAACAGGACAGUACAUCAUGUGGUGUAUUUUCACUGAAGUUUGCAGAAAAAAUCCUAGCAAAAGAGGUAGUGGAUUUUCCUGUUUCUACUGCGGCGGUCUACAGCAUGAGGUUGGACAUUGCUGUGAGUCUUAUCCUUGACAGUGAUUACUUAAAAGACUUGUGCCACUUCUGUAGAGAGAAGGAAAGUGACACGGACGUGAACUGGGUAAGAAAUUUUAGAGAAUUAUUCAAAGACUUAGAGUUAGUAAGUCAAAGGAAGAGAACAACUUUUACCUAAUUUUUUCUAGCGUAAACAAGCUUUAAUAAGACUCUCCAGCAGUUGGAAUAUAAGGGAAUCUAAAAUUAUUCAUAUAAAUGUUGUCACUGUAAAGACAUGUUUUCUUUAAAAUAGUUUAUAUUUUUGGUUUCUUUCAUAGAUCCAGUGUGACAURUGCCUGAGGUGGUUCCAUCAGGCAUGUGUGGGAAACCCACCAAUUCAAAAAACGUAUGAGUUUUUUGAAUUGGCAAAUCAGGAACCUGUUUGCUUUAGGUUCCUGAGUUUACUGUGGAGUGCUGGUAGUUUAUGUAUGUUGAACAAUGUUUAAUAAAUUACAAUUUGAAAACUA